UGUAGUAUUUUCGUCCUCGCCAGUCACACUAUUCCUAGGUUUGGUCAAUAUACUUAUCCUUUGAUUUCUCCUAUAUUUUCCUUCCUGAUUUUGUUUGAUGAUUUGCUAGGUUAUGGGAUUGGAUCUCCAUUUUCCAAGAUUCUUAGCUGAUAAGUAUAUUGUGCGGAAAAAUCUCUACUGAAUGACAAAUCCAAGCAAUGUAAGUGACCUAACAUUUCACUGGUGGUAUGGUACAUCUCAUACAAUUUCUGAAUUCCAAUACCGUUCCUGUGUAGCUGGAUACUCCAUGGGACAAAGUUGAAGCUUUGUACAUCACUUCUCUACCUGUUUAUUAAUGUUUCUUCAUGUUUGGCAGUGAUCUGGGUUUCCAUGUACUUGAUAGAUGCAUUCCUUAUCUUUAUGUGUUCCAUCUAUGUUUAUAUGUUUCUGCCCAUAAAUGUAUUUAUGAGCUUGCUCCGUUUUUUACUGCUUUCCUAUGGCAAUUUGAAAAGUACCCUUUAUUCCCCUAAAAAGGGCUAUACAUGCAUUUAAAAGAGUGCACAUUUUCUAUAAACAUAAGCAUUGUCUUUACCCCACUGCUCUCUGGCGUGCAGCGACGAAGAUUUCAUGCUCAACCUCCCUCACAGCCCCAGGUUCGGCUACUUUCCAGUUUUGUUAGUUUUCUUCUUGGUAGCACUGAACACCAUGGAAACAUGGGUGCCGUGGCCACACACAUGCAUUUUGUCGUCCUCCUUAAAAUUCAAUUAGAUUAUAUGCAAACAUGCAGUCGUGUUUACUUAAGAUCCAAUUAGAUGAAUGCUGUUUAUUUUUCCAUAUAGUUUCUAUUUAGAAAGGCCUCAUAUGCAAGUUGGGGACAUGCCGUGAACAUAUGGUUUUGUGAUCUAUGGUCUUGAGUCAUAUGUUGGAUGGGUGAUAAUGGAAAUUUUCUUGAGGAUAACCCCGUGCAUAAGUUUUGUGAGAGUUAAACCUGUUUUAUGAGAGGUAAAGCUGUUUUUUGAGAGUUAAACCCGUGCAUGUGAAUGUAUUUUUUUAGAACUGGUCAAACUAUUUUUUGUGAGAGUUAAAGCUGUUUUCUGGAGGACAAACCCGUGAAUAAGUUUCUCAUCUGUAUAGAUUAAUUAAUAGGAUGGCAAUUUAAGUUUAUUGGAGCUCUUUUUAAGAAGUGGGGGUCUGCUUUGGUUUCUUGCUGUUUGCAUAUUCUCUUAAAAACACUUGACUGACUGCAGCUGACUGUUUAUACAUCAAUAAUAUGGGCAGUUGAAUACGGCGUUUUCAAGUGAAGGAUUUCAAAAAUCUAAUAUGGCAUGCCUAUUUUUCAUGGAAAAACAAAUGGUACCUUAUUUACUAUUUAGUUUUUAAGCUAGACUAAUUUGACUACACGCAUCCUGAGGUGCCUUCUAUUUGAAGUUCUGCCUAGGGUGGCCUUUGUCUUGGUUUACAGCUCCAUAUGGCUACCUAUGUACUCCCUCCGUUCCAAAAUAUAAGUCCUUUUAGACAUUUCAAAUGGAAUACAACAUACGGAUGUAUGUAGACAUAUUUUAGAUUGUAGAUUCGCUCAUUUUGCUCCGUAUGUAGUCACUUGGUGAAAUCUCUAGAAAGACUUAUAUUUAGGAACGGAGGGCAUAUAACAUAUGUAGGUUCUGUUUGAACCGUCUCAAAUCACAUAGAGAUGUUAAAUUUUCAAUUUGUUGCCUCGCGGUCGUGUGCCAUCACCAUGUUUACUCCAGAAAAGUGGAAUGUGCAGAGUUUCUGUGUUGAUUAGUCAAAUAUUUGCUUUGCCUUAAAGACUGUCCCAAUCUAUGUUCCAGGUUGUGGCAACGCUGCAGAUAUGCCCAUUGCCAUUGAGCAUUUCUAUCUAUAUGCUUCUACAGAGUAUUUGGUUUUUUAACUAUACGCUUGACGAAAUAAUUUCCUUAUAAGCCGGGACAAGGCGUUUGUAGUUGGUAUUUGUACUAUAAGCUCAAUUUUUUUGGUUCAUCUCAUCUCUGGUUAUUUUUUCGUUUUUUGUGUUUCUGCAGCAUAUUAUCAUUAGCAUGUAAAACCUCUUAUAUUUCUUGUUUUCAACAAUUAUUCUUUGGCAGGGAAGACUAUGAUAACACUAAGAUUAUCAGGAAAGGAUUCAGAGCUUUUUUUUAAUCCAGAUUAUCACACAUGAUGCAAAAUUAACAACCACGACUUUGAAAUAUGGAGAUGAUGCUUAUUAUGUGCUAGAAAUCAAAUAUGUAAAGGAGAAGAUAAUGUUUGCGAAGGUGUGUAUACUGAACAGGCAUCCCAAUUGAUAUGUUUUUCUGUUGUUUCUUGAUGUGCUCUCAUGCAGCUCUGUCCAUAUAUACUGAUUGUUAUACUUAUUGUUGUGUGAGUUGCAGGAGAGGGGAGAGAGAUACGGGUUGAUUCUGGGUAAACUUUGCUUAAUUUGUUGGAGAAAAUGCUCGAUAGAUCUCAUGGAUGGAUGAGGUUGUGGCAGUAGUUCUCGGGUGCAAUAUCUAUCUUGAUAGAGUGAUCGAUCAGGGCACAUUAGAAGCAGAAAGAAGAGGAAACGUUUGGGCCGUCUAUGGCGUUGAAGAUUCAGUGUUUCUGUCUUGUGUACAUGCACGGCCAGUUCAGUAACUAGAUGGCCUUUUCUACUGUACUGGUGCUGCUACUUUUCACAUGCUAGCUUCUUUGGAAAGCGCCAACAGUGUGUACAACAUGUAAAGAGUCCAUGUUGAAAGAACAGAAGCAGAAGUAUGGAGUUGAUGUAUUAAUGGUCAAUCAAGGAAUUCAGUCUCGAUGAGCUUAUCUAAUGAUGUGUGGGUUGAGCCUUAGGUCAUUUUCAAAGUAACGGAAGUACAAGAGAUUACUUGAAAAUAUGCAUUUUUUCAAUGUGACAUGGUCUUAAGUGCGAUUUUAUACCACCAAAUUAAAAUGUGGUAUAUCUCAUUGUAGACAACAAGCCUACAUUUUUAUUUUAUUUUAUUGAAGGGGUUAAACUUGUUAUCGUAUGUGUUUGCCCACAACUAAAUCAACUAAAACAUGAUUUUUUUUUUCAAUGUGAACAUG
RNAcentral lists this long non-coding RNA (3039 nucleotides) under Triticum aestivum (bread wheat). RNAcentral's name for it is "long non-coding RNA (TAES_LNC010220)". The record is from RNAcentral. Lineage: Eukaryota; Viridiplantae; Streptophyta; Magnoliopsida; Poales; Poaceae.